This 497-nucleotide ribosomal RNA is filed under the name uncultured bacterium. RNAcentral describes it as "partial 16S ribosomal RNA". It matches the Rfam family "Bacterial small subunit ribosomal RNA", at positions 28 to 507 of the family's 1533-position model. The record is from RNAcentral.
GACGAACGCUGGCGGCGUGCCUAAUACAUGCGAGUUGAGCGCUGAAGGUUGGUACUUGUACCGACUGGAUGAGCAGCGAACGGGUGAGUAACGCGUGGGGAAUCUGCCUUUGAGCGGGGGACAACAUUUGGAAACGAAUGCUAAUACCGCAUAAAAACUUUAAACACAAGUUUUAAGUUUGAAAGAUGCAAUUGCAUCACUCAAAGAUGAUCCCGCGUUGUAUUAGCUAGUUGGUGAGGUAAAGGCUCACCAAGGCGAUGAUACAUAGCCGACCUGAGAGGGUGAUCGGCCACAUUGGGACUGAGACACGGCCCAAACUCCUACGGGAGGCAGCAGUAGGGAAUCUUCGGCAAUGGACGAAAGUCUGACCGAGCAACGCCGCGUGAGUGAAGAAGGGUUUCGGAUCGUAAAACUCUGUUGGUAGAGAAGAACGUUGGUGAGAGUGGAAAGCUCAUCAAGUGACGGUAACUACCCAGAAAGGGACGGCUAACUACGUG